This 233-nucleotide non-coding RNA is filed under the name Rossellomorea vietnamensis. RNAcentral's name for it is "Bacillus vietnamensis T-box sequence". It matches the Rfam family "T-box leader". From Rfam's summary of the family: Uncharged tRNA acts as the effector for transcription antitermination of genes in the T-box leader family. T-boxes are found upstream of many aminoacyl-tRNA synthetase genes and some amino acid biosynthetic genes usually in Gram-positive bacteria. Lineage: Bacteria; Bacillati; Bacillota; Bacilli; Caryophanales; Bacillaceae. The record is from RNAcentral.
GUAUAAGCAUGGAUGAAGAGUAGUACUUUUCAGGAUGAUUAAAAGAGAGCUUGUGGUUGGUGCGAACAAGCAAUCAUUUGAAAAGGAAUGGACUUCGGAGCUUUAUGUGUGAAACGGAGUAGCAUAUAACGGGAUGACCUUACGUUAAAGAGGUUCCAUGCACGUCAUGGACUAAGCUGGCUCUAACGGGCACUUAGGGUGGCACCGCGGAAAUGAUCCCAUUCGUCCCUAUU